GGAUUGUGGCCCAGUGGUAGAGUGCUCGCCUACAAUGCAUGGGGCACUGAGUUCGAUCCUCAGCACCA
This 68-nucleotide transfer RNA is filed under the name Marmota monax (woodchuck). RNAcentral's name for it is "tRNA.Cys". Lineage: Eukaryota; Metazoa; Chordata; Mammalia; Rodentia; Sciuridae. The record is from RNAcentral.